GUAAGGAAUAUUGGUCAAUGGACGAAAGUCUGAACCAGCCAUGCCGCGUGAAGGAUGAAGGCCCUCUGGGUUGUAAACUUCUUUUAUCUGGGACGAAAAAAGGGUAUUCUUACUCACUUGACGGUACCAGAGGAAUAAGCACCGGCUAACUCCGUGCCAGCAGCCGCGGUAAUACGGAGGGUGCAAGCGUUAUCCGGAUUCACUGGGUUUAAAGGGUGCGUAGGUGGGUAUUUAAGUCAGUGGUGAAAUCUCCGAGCUUAACUCGGAAACUGCCAUUGAUACUAUUUACCUUGAAUGACCUGGAGGUAAGCGGAAUAUGUCAUGUAGCGGUGAAAUGCUUAGAUAUGACAUAGAACACCAAUUGCGAAGGCAGCUUACUACGGGGUGAUUGACACUGAGGCACGAAAGCGUGGGGAGCAAACAGGAUUAGAAACCCCUGUAGUCC
This 445-nucleotide ribosomal RNA is filed under the name uncultured bacterium. Its description in RNAcentral is "partial 16S ribosomal RNA". It matches the Rfam family "Bacterial small subunit ribosomal RNA", at positions 354 to 796 of the family's 1533-position model. The record is from RNAcentral.